GACAGAUUGGGCAAGCGUUGCUCGGAAUUACUGGGCGUAAAGGGCGCGUAGGCGGGAUGGCAAGUCGGUCGUGAAAUCCUUCGGCUCAACCGAAGAACGUCGAUCGAUACUGCUGUUCUUGAGGGUUGCAGAGGAGACUGGAAUUCCCGGUGUGGCGGUGAAAUGUGUAGAGAUCGGGAGGAACACCGGUGGCGAAGGCGGGUCUCUGGGCAAUUCCUGACGCUGAGGCGCGAAAGCGUGGGGAGCAAACGGG
Molecule: ribosomal RNA, 253 nt
Filed under: uncultured bacterium
Lineage: Bacteria
Description: partial 16S ribosomal RNA
Rfam family: Bacterial small subunit ribosomal RNA
Source: RNAcentral